UAGAAGAAAAAACUUUUUUCAAUUACUUCCUAAAAACUCGCACGAGGCUUCCGUCCCAAAGGUUCCGUCCCAAAGGUGUUGAUAGUCAGAAAAACAUGCCGCUGCCGACUACAUGUUUCAAACCCAAGCCCUAAAACUUAUAUCCCCAAUUUCUAUCUCUAAUCCAAGCCCUAAACUCAAAUCCUCAAAUAUUUUAUCCCCAAUUUUAGUGACAGAUACAGAGAGAUAGAGAGCAAUUUAGAGCAAUAGCAAUUCAAAAAUUGUCUAGGAUUGCCAAUCGAUCUACUAGAGCAAGAUAAAAGAAGCAAGGAAGGGGCUUUUGAUUGUUGGGACGUUACAGAUACACAGAGAGAGAGAGAGAGAGAGCAAUUCGGAGCAAUCACAAUUCGAAAAUUGUCUAGUAUUUCCAAUCGAGCUACCGACGCAAUUGCAAUUCAACAACCACUUAGGUAGGUAAUAAGAAUAAAUUUCAACAGAUUUUUGGUUUAUAUUUGGUGACUUUGGUAGAUGCAAAUCAUAUAAGGGAUGCAAAUUAUAUGAGGUUGCUCUUCAUUAUCCGUUUAGAUUUGUUCUACUUUUUUUUCUUGGAGGAUUCAUUGUCCUCUUUGUAAUAAAUUUUGAUUUAUUGAUGUGAAAAUGUUAUCCAUUUUUGUUUGGGAUCAGUUCUCAUUCCAAGUUAUUAAAAUGGGGUCAUGUUAUUCCUGAACCCAUCUUUUCCUCGUCUAUUCUCUGUAUACUUGCUUCACAUUUGUUGUAGAUUGUCUUACUAAUUGGAUACAACUCAUUUAGGUAAAAUAGUCAUUUCCUGUAAACUUGAUGAAUAACCUUAGUACCCAUGGAAGUACAUUGCAUAUACUAAAACAAGGAUACCCAAGAAUGAAUAGAAUGCUUUGCACAAGAGCUUUCUGUAAUGCUCUGUAUUACAUUUUUUUUAUAUACUAAUUAUUAGGUGUUGUAUUUACAAACUUGAACUUGGGAGAGGGAAAAGAUAGGCUAAGUUGGCAGCUUGAACUAUAGUACAUGCUUAAUUUCUCAAUGAAAUAUAUUUUUGUUGUUAUAUAACUGUAGCAUGAGGUUAUUUAAUCUACACUAGUUUGAAAUAUCAAAAAUCUUACAUCUUUGUUAGAAAAUUCUACUGCAACACUCUUUUACCAAUGGCAGUCUUUGCAGUUGAGCAACUUCAAGUAAUGGCUUUGAAACGUCAAUAUAAAGAGGCAACUUCAAGUAAUGGCUUUGAAACGUCAAAGCUAAAGUUAAUCCUAAUAUUACUAUUUUUCAUUUCUUAUUGAUCGCAGUCUUAUUUAUUUGUUAGCAUUCUAAUUUGCAGUCUUCACCCUAGCCUAGUACCAAUUUUCCUAUUUUUGUCAAUUAUUUUCUGCAAUUCAAGCUUUCAAAAUCAUGUCCUGCAUCAAAAUGUUUUUCAUGGAUGCUAGAUUCUUCCGUUGCUCUUUCUUAUAAUUUGUUAUGUUAGUUGAAUUGCUGUGAUUUUAAGUCAUCUUAAAUUUAUGUCAUUUUUUAAUUGUGUGAUGGUAUUUAAGAUUGUGUGAUGCUUGUGGUUGUUGAAUGUGACUGAAUUCUGAUAUGAGGUCAACAUAUAAUUAUAAUUUACAAGUCUUGUAACAGAAAAUAUGUUUACCACUAUGCUUACUGAAAUUAAUUCAUGAAAUGGCCGAUUAAGAUUCCAAUUUUUUCUUGUAACAACGCAAUCAUAUAUUCGCACUGAAGGUUCUUUUUCUAUUUGGAUUUGUAGCAAAUGAUAUUGUGAUUGCCUAUUUGUCUUUUUCUGCUUACGAGCAAUACGGUGUACAUUAGGACCACGUAGCAACUCUAUUGUCUUUGUGUAUUGAUUUUGGCACUAAGUGCCUUUGGUGACCUAUUUGCUUCAUUUUCUUGACUUGCUAUUAUUUUUAAAUAUGUGCAGGAAGACUGCUUCUACGACAUGUCUUACAAUACUGCGUAUUAAAUUUUUGUGCUACGUUUACGAAAGACAAGGGACGAAAUUAUGAAGUGUACUCUCUCUAUAUAUGUAGAUAUAUACUUUGAUUGAAGAACUGUGGUAGCUUUAGAUGGUUAAUUGUAAAGAUAAUAAAUGAUUAUGUAGUGGAUGAUUUUAUUAAGUUAAUAAUAUUUGAUUUUUUUGUAUUUUUGCCAUUAUUUGCUAUGGGGACAUUGAGCC
This 2176-nucleotide long non-coding RNA is filed under the name Panax ginseng (ginseng). Its description in RNAcentral is "long non-coding RNA (PGIN_LNC000601)". The record is from RNAcentral. Lineage: Eukaryota; Viridiplantae; Streptophyta; Magnoliopsida; Apiales; Araliaceae.